RNAcentral lists this ribosomal RNA (388 nucleotides) under uncultured bacterium. RNAcentral's name for it is "bacterial SSU rRNA". It matches the Rfam family "Bacterial small subunit ribosomal RNA", at positions 28 to 417 of the family's 1533-position model. The record is from RNAcentral.
GACGAACGCUGGCGGCGUGCUUAACACAUGCAAGUCGAGCGGUAAGGCCCUUCCGGGGGUACACGAGCGGCGAACGGGUGAGUAACACGUGGGUGACCUGCCCUUAGCUCUGGGAUAAGCCUGGGAAACUGGGUCUAAUACCGGAUAUGACUCCAUGACGCAUGUUGUGGGGUGGAAAGCCUUGUGCGGCUAGGGAUGGGCCCGCGGCCUAUCAGCUUGUUGGUGGGGUGAUGGCCUACCAAGGCGACGACGGGUAGCCGGCCUGAGAGGGCGACCGGCCACACUGGGACUGAGACACGGCCCAGACUCCUACGGGAGGCAGCAGUGGGGAAUCUUGCGCAAUGGGCGAAAGCCUGACGCAGCGACGCCGCGUGAGGGAUGACGGCCU